CACCGAUAGCGGCACAACAGCGACAUGCAGCGCCGAUAACGGUACAGCAGCCACAUCCAGCACCAAUAGCGGCACAACAGUGACAGGCAGCACCGAUAAUCAAACAAGGAAAAUCCGUGGACUGGAAAUCAUUGACCAAGAAAUAUCUAUUCUGUCAACAGAGCUAAUUGCGCCGGACAUCCAGGAAUCAAAGAAUGUGGAAACUGACGCAGAAAACGAGUAUUUUACCAAACACCCUCUGAUGCGGCUGUUCCU
Saccostrea cuccullata (small rock oyster) is the source of this 255-nucleotide long non-coding RNA. RefSeq lists it as uncharacterized. The transcript has 3 exons. NCBI's taxonomy places the organism in Eukaryota, Metazoa, Mollusca, Bivalvia, Ostreida, Ostreidae. The record is from RefSeq and is a predicted model, not a curated record.